Molecule: ribosomal RNA, 449 nt
Filed under: uncultured bacterium
Lineage: Bacteria
Description: bacterial SSU rRNA
Rfam family: Bacterial small subunit ribosomal RNA
Source: RNAcentral
CCAGACUCCUACGGGAGGCAGCAGUGGGGAAUAUUGGGCAAUGGGCGCAAGCCUGACCCAGCAACGCCGCGUGAAGGAAGAAGGCUUUCGGGUUGUAAACUUCUUUUCUCAGGGACGAAGAAGGUGACGGUACCUGAGGAAUAAGCCACGGCUAACUACGUGCCAGCAGCCGCGGUAAUACGUAGGUGGCAAGCGUUAUCCGGAUUUAUUGGGUGUAAAGGGCGUGUAGGCGGGAGCGCAAGUCAGAUGUGAAAACUCAGGGCUCAACCCUGGGCCUGCAUUUGAAACUGUGGUUCUUGAGUGCUGGAGAGGCAGUCGGAAUUCCGGGUGUGGCGGUGAAAUGCGUGGAUAUACGGAGGAACACCAGUGGCGAAGGCGGAUUGCUGGACAGUAACUGACGCUGAGCCGCGAAAGCGUGGGGACCAAACAGGAUUAGAUACCCCAGUACA